CGCGCGAUACAGGGUGACAGCCCCGUACACAAAAGCGCAUGUGUUGUGAGCUCGAUGAGUAGGGCGGGACACGUGGUAUCCUGUCUGAAUAUGGGGGGACCAUCCUCCAAGGCUAAAUACUCCUGACUGACCGAUAGUGAACCAGUACCGUGAGGGAAAGGCGAAAAGAACCCCGGCGAGGGGAGUGAAAAAGAACCUGAAACCGUGUACGUACAAGCAGUGGGAGCACCCUUCGGGGUGUGACUGCGUACCUUUUGUAUAAUGGGUCAGCGACUUAUAUUCUGUAGCAAGGUUAACCGAAUAGGGGAGCCGGAGGGAAACCGAGUCUUAAUUGGGCGUUAAGUUGCAGGGUAUAGACCCGAAACCCGGUGAUCUAGCCAUGGGCAGGUUGAAGGUUGGGUAACACUAACUGGAGGACCGAACCGACUAAUGUUGAAAAAUUAGCGGAUGACCUGUGGCUGGGGGUGAAAGGCCAAUCAAACCGGGAGAUAGCUGGUUCUCCCCGAAAGCUAUUUAGGUAGCGCCUCGUGAAUUCAUCUCCGGGGGUAGAGCACUGUUUCGGCUAGGGGGCCAUCCCGGCUUACCAACCCGAUGCAAACUGCGAAUACCGGAGAAUGCUAUCACG
RNAcentral lists this ribosomal RNA (625 nucleotides) under Salmonella enterica subsp. enterica serovar Stanley. RNAcentral describes it as "partial 23S ribosomal RNA". It matches the Rfam family "Bacterial large subunit ribosomal RNA", at positions 351 to 979 of the family's 2925-position model. Lineage: Bacteria; Pseudomonadati; Pseudomonadota; Gammaproteobacteria; Enterobacterales; Enterobacteriaceae. The record is from RNAcentral.